RNAcentral lists this long non-coding RNA (817 nucleotides) under Homo sapiens (human). Its description in RNAcentral is "HSALNT0375223". Lineage: Eukaryota; Metazoa; Chordata; Mammalia; Primates; Hominidae. The record is from RNAcentral.
UGCUGGGAUUACAGGCAUGAGCCACUGCACUUGACCAAGGGACUAAGCCAGUGGAUCACAAACAUCCUGGAGAGCAGUGACUCUGUGAUUCCAUCACAAGAAUAUGAAGGACUGAGAAGAUCUCCAGCUCUGCCCAUUGCACCUUCCCAUUGAGAAGCAGCAUGGCACCCUGGUGGCAGGGGCUGAUACUCAGCCGGGCCAGGGUGCUCUCCUGUUAACCAUAACCAAGCUCACAGGACAUGGGAUGAGCCCACUGUGUGACACAGGGAGCGGGACACAGUCUGUUAAGUCUUGCACAGCCAUGCUCUGCCACGCAGGCAGGCCUUUCCUUGGCCUCCCUCUCCCUGUUCGUGCUCAUGUGAACAUCCACCUACGUGGAUAGACUGGGCUUUGGUUCAUUAUUGCUCUGUGAAUUCCUCGAACUUCCGCAUCUGCCCAACCUCCCCCACCCCAUUGUUUUCAUUGUGUUUCACCAAAUGGAAAUUCUAGAGUAAGCAUGUGAGUCCUCUCCCAAACUUGUUCACUGUUGAGAGUGCUAAAAUGCUAACCCCAGAUGCUAACUGAGGGGUAGGGUUACCUUAUCUUUAGAGCACUGCGAAUUGUAUGUUAAGUGGAACUUAAUGAAAAAAUAGUUAAUUGACCAACAUGAAUAUCCCCUGAACAGAAUCUCCCCUGAACAGAAUCCUACAAUGAAACUAAGGGAGAUAAAUAAAGCUGUUUACCUGAAAGCUCUCUCUAAUCAAGAUCCUUUGAAAUUUAUAAAACAUGGUCAAUAUUUGCACUGGACUUUGUAAAAAUAAAGCUUGAUAAGAGAAGA